Long non-coding RNA from Gallus gallus (chicken), 2244 nucleotides. The record is from Ensembl. Lineage: Eukaryota; Metazoa; Chordata; Aves; Galliformes; Phasianidae.
GGAGAAGUUCCUUGUUGAGCAAUUGUGCACUUGAAUGGUAGAAAGUUGCGAAGGCUGUUAACAUGCCAGAAUGAGAAGAAGCUAGAGCAAGAAUCUCUCAUCUGGAUUUAUUCUGAAGAAGCUUCUGUUUUCUCAAGAAGAAAACAAGAAGUUGCGUGAAGAGUCUUUCCACCUCAUUUUCAAGGAGAGAGUUGUUUUUCUUCAGCAUCCUUUCAGAGACACUAAAGAGAGAUUAAAAAAGAAGGAUAUUUUCUUAUCUUCAUUCCAAAAUGUGGAAAACAAUGAUCUGCCUGGUGGAUAAGGGAAAGGCUGUUGACCUGGCCUACCCCAACUUCAGCAAAGCCUUCAACACUGUCUCCCACAGCAUUCUCCUGAAGAAGCUAGGAGCCCGUGGCUUGGACAGGUACACUCUUUGCUGGGUAAAGAACUGGCUGGAUGGCCAGGACCAGAGGGUGGUGGUGAAUGGAGUCACAUCCAUCUGGCAACCAGUCAUGAGUAGUGUUCCCCAGGGGUUGGUACUGGGGCCUGUCCUCUUCAAUAUCUUUAUUGAUGAUAUGGAUGAGUGCAUUGAGAGCACCCUCGGUAAGUUUGCAGAUGACACCAAGUUGGCUGGAAGUGUUGAUCUGCCUGUGGGUAGCAAGGCCCUAUAGAGGGACUUGGACAGGUUGGAUUGCUGGGCUGAAGCCAAUGGGAUGAGGUUUAACAAGACCAAGUGCCAGGUCCUGCACUUUGGCCGCAACAACUGCAGGCAAUGCUACAGGCUUGGGGCAGAGUAGCUGGAAGACUGUGUAGAGGAAAUGGACCUGGGGAUAUCGAUCAAUGCUCAGCUGAACAUGAGCCAGCAGUGUGCCCAGAUGGCCAGGAAGGCCAAUGGCAUCCUGGCUUGUAUCAGAAAUAGUGUUGCUAGCAGGUACAAGAAAAUAAUUGUACCUCUGUAUUCAGCACUGGUGAGGCUGCACCUCAAGUACUGUGUUCAGUUUUGGGACCCUCACUGCAAGAAAGAUUUGAGGCCCUUGGAGCAUGUCCAAAGAAGGGCAACAAAACUGGUGAGGGUUCUGGAGCACAGCCCUUAUGAGGUGCAGCUGAAGGAGCUGGGAUUGUUCAUUCUGGAGAAAAGGGGGCUCAGGGGAGACUGUACCGCUCUCUGCAACUUUCUGAAUGGAGGUUGUAGUGAGCUGGGGAUCAGCCUCUUUUCUCGUGUAAGUAGUGAUAGGACUAGAGGGAAUGGCCUCAAGUUGUACCAGGGGAGUUUCAGACUGGACAUUAGGAAAUAGUACUUCUCAAAAAAGGUGGUCAGGCUCUGGAAUGGGCUGCCCAGCGAGGUGGUGGAGUCACAGUCCCUGGAGGUGCUCAAGGAACAUUUAGACAUUGUAUUGAGGAGUAUGGUUUAGUGAGAACUGUUUUUGAUAGGUGGACAUUGGACUGGAUGAUCUUGUCUUUUCCAACUUUGGUGAUUCUAUGAUUCAAUGAUUCUGUGUUACUGUAUCAGUUAAGAGAUGCUGGCUCUUUCUUUUCACUGCAUAUGAAACUCAUUUAGAUGUUCUCAACUUGAUCACAUUUAGCUCAGACCUAAUGUGACCCAAAGCAUCAGUGAUCUAACCAACCAAGGUACAUAUUAGGAUAAUCAGAGUCCCGUGUAAGAUAUAUCAUUUGGUAGGCUUAUUAAUGUUGUGUUGCACAUGUCUGGCCCAGUAACAAUAUGCAUAAUUAAGUGCCCAGAUACAGUGACACUGUAUAUGGUUUUGACUCUACUACAUAUCUGUAGUUCACUAAAAUCUCAGUGGAAAAUUUUGGAGUGGGCAAAUCUAUUUAAGACCAGCAGAAACUCAGUAGGCCUUUCUAAUCUAAAAAAUAUGUCUUAAUCCUAUCUUCCUGGUGCAUCACUACUGAUUUCAGUAGAUUUAGUUCUCAGUUGUAGUCCAACACACAGGUUUUUGUACUUUUUAAAGUUGUGGCUUUCUCAUAUUCGUAUUUUAUAAAAAAUUGACAUUAGUUUAGGAAAUCUUUACAUUUGCAUUCAGAAGAGAAUCUGUAGAUAAAUAUAUUCAAAUCACUAACAAAUCAAGGAACUUGUUUCUUGCUUGUUGGUUAACUUAGGUUCAUCCUAUAGUUAUUUGAUGUAUUUUUUCUUUGCCCUUAGUUUUUGGUAUUAUAUCUGAAUGUCUUUCAUUUGUGCGUUAAGCACUAUGGACUAAUCUCUGAAACAUCAUACAUACUCUGGAAAAAUUUUUACUUUGUAUAUGC